UACAGGCUUAACACAUGCAAGUCGAGGGGAAACGAUAUUGGAAGCUUGCUUCCGAUAGGCGUCGACCGGCGCACGGGUGAGUAACGCGUAUCCAACCUGCCCACCACUUGGGGAUAACCUUGCGAAAGUAAGACUAAUACCCAAUGAAAUCUCUAGAAGACAUCUGAAAGAGAUUAAAGAUUUAUCGGUGAUGGAUGGGGAUGCGUCUGAUUAGCUUGUUGGCGGGGUAACGGCCCACCAAGGCAACGAUCAGUAGGGGUUCUGAGAGGAAGGUCCCCCACAUUGGAACUGAGACACGGUCCAAACUCCUACGGGAGGCAGCAGUGAGGAAUAUUGGUCAAUGGGCGAGAGCCUGAACCAGCCAAGUAGCGUGCAGGAAGACGGCCCUAUGGGUUGUAAACUGCUUUUAUAAGGGAAUAAAGUGGGAGUCGUGACUCUUUUUGCAUGUACCUUAUGAAUAAGGACCGGCUAAUUCCGUGCCAGCAGCCGCGGUAAUACGGAAGGUCCGGGCGUUAUCCGGAUUUAUUGGGUUUAAAGGGAGCGUAGGUCGGAGAUUAAGCGUGUUGUGAAAUGUAGAUGCUCAACGUCUGCACUGCAGCGCGAACUGGUUUCCUUGAGUACGCACAAAGUGGGCGGAAUUCGUGGUGUAGCGGUGAAAUGCUUAGAUAUCACGAAGAACUCCGAUUGCGAAGGCAGCUCACUGGAGCGCAACUGACGCUGAAGCUCGAAAGUGCGGGUAUCGAACAGGAUUAGAUACCCUGGUAGUCCGCACGGUAAACGAUGGAUGCCCGCUGUUGGUCUGAAUAGGUCAGCGGCCAAGCGAAAGCAUUAAGCAUCCCACCUGGGGAGUACGCCGGCAACGGUGAAACUCAAAGGAAUUGACGGGGGCCCGCACAAGCGGAGGAACAUGUGGUUUAAUUCGAUGAUACGCGAGGAACCUUACCCGGGCUUGAAUUGCAGAGGAAGGAUUUGGAGACAAUGACGCCCUUCGGGGUCUCUGUGAAGGUGCUGCAUGGUUGUCGUCAGCUCGUGCCGUGAGGUGUCGGCUUAAGUGCCAUAACGAGCGCAACCCCUCUCCUUAGUUGCCAUCAGGUCACGCUGGGCACUCUGGGGACACUGCCACCGUAAGGUGUGAGGAAGGUGGGGAUGA
This 1150-nucleotide ribosomal RNA is filed under the name uncultured bacterium. RNAcentral describes it as "bacterial SSU rRNA". It matches the Rfam family "Bacterial small subunit ribosomal RNA", at positions 41 to 1182 of the family's 1533-position model. The record is from RNAcentral.